GUUAAUAUAGUUUCAAAGAAAAUAUCAGACUGUGAAUCUGAAGAUAGGAUAUAACAACCCUUAUUAACC
RNAcentral lists this transfer RNA (69 nucleotides) under Chionomys nivalis (European snow vole). RNAcentral's name for it is "tRNA-His". It matches the Rfam family "tRNA". From Rfam's summary of the family: Transfer RNA (tRNA) molecules are approximately 80 nucleotides in length. Their secondary structure includes four short double-helical elements and three loops (D, anti-codon, and T loops). Lineage: Eukaryota; Metazoa; Chordata; Mammalia; Rodentia; Cricetidae. The record is from RNAcentral.